RNAcentral lists this ribosomal RNA (253 nucleotides) under uncultured prokaryote. RNAcentral describes it as "partial 16S ribosomal RNA". It matches the Rfam family "Bacterial small subunit ribosomal RNA", at positions 525 to 777 of the family's 1533-position model. The record is from RNAcentral.
ACGUAGGUCUCAAGCGUUAUCCGGAAUUACUGGGCGUAAAGCGUCCGCAGCCAGAUGUAUAAGUCUGUCUUUAAAUAUCCCGAUUCAAUCGGGAAAAAGGGAUAGAUACUGUAUGUCUAGAGGACUUUAGAGGAUAGUGGAAUUUCCGGUGGAGCGGUGAAAUGCGUUGAUAUCGGAAGGAAUGCCAAAAGCGAAAGCAGCUAUCUAUAAAGUAUCUGACGGUCGGGGACGACAGCUUGGGGAGCAAACGGGA